This 885-nucleotide ribosomal RNA is filed under the name Bostrychia harveyi. RNAcentral describes it as "eukaryotic LSU rRNA". It matches the Rfam family "Eukaryotic large subunit ribosomal RNA", at positions 1293 to 2159 of the family's 3401-position model. Lineage: Eukaryota; Rhodophyta; Florideophyceae; Ceramiales; Rhodomelaceae. The record is from RNAcentral.
CCUGCCGAAUGAAUUAGCCCUGAAAAUGGAUGGCGCUGAAGCGAGUAGCCGACACUGCGCCGUCUGUGCAAAACUUGAUAAAUAAUGUUUCAGAUGAGUAGGAGGAAUGUGGCGGUUGUAUUGAAGCGUGUGCGCAAGCAUGCGUGGAACGGCCGCUAGUACAGAUCUUGGUGGUAGUAGCAAAUAUUCAAAUGAGAACCUUGAAGGGCGAAGCGGGGAAGGGUUCCACGCGAACAUUGAUUGGGCGUGGGUGAGUCGUUCCUAAGCCGUAUGGUAAUUGUUAGGCAAUCGGCGAAAGGGAAGCAGGUUGAUAUUCCUGCACACGGAUGUGGAUAUGCGGUGACGCACACUGGGGCGGUGAAGUCGUCGGUUGCACUGGGCAGAGAUUUCUUUUCUGUUUAACGGAGCCUGACUGUACGCUAUGGAAUCCGCUUGUCGGGAGAAAUAGGUAUGUCACGGCAAAGCGCCGGGUUUUUUUCCGGCGUCCAGUUUGCGACUGGCGGACCUUGAAAAACUGUCUGCUGGCAAAGCACUCGUUGUUUUGUGUGAAAAAUUCCACGCCGUAACGUACCCAUAACCGCAUCAGGUCCCCAAGGUGAACAGCCUCUGCUCGAUAUGAAAAAUGCAGGUGAGGGAAGUCGGCAAAUUAGACCCGUAACUUUGGGAAAAGGGUUGGCUCUAGUGCUGCGUAGGAGUGGUUGCCGGUAGGGCUCUGGGAUUGUGGUGCUUGGCGCUAUGUGGAGGAUGCGGGAGGACUCUGUUCGCCCGUGCCUCUGCGUAAAACCGAGCACUCUUUUCCGGGCUCUCUGGUAACGCCUACAGCAUGCAGCAAACUAGAACUGCAACGGACAAAGGGAAUCCGACUGUUUAAUUAAAACAAAGCAU